UACGGAGGGGGCUAGCGUUGUUCGGAAUUACUGGGCGUAAAGCGCGCGUAGGCGGACCUGCAAGUCGGGGGUGAAAGCCCGAGGCUCAACCUCGGAACUGCCUUCGAUACUGCGGGUCUCGAGUCCGGGAGAGGUGAGUGGAAUUCCUAGUGUAGAGGUGAAAUUCGUAGAUAUUAGGAAGAACACCGGUGGCGAAGGCGGCAUCCUGGACCGACAUUGACGCUGAGGAGCGAAAGCUAGGGGAGCAAACGGG
This 253-nucleotide ribosomal RNA is filed under the name uncultured bacterium. Its description in RNAcentral is "partial 16S ribosomal RNA". It matches the Rfam family "Bacterial small subunit ribosomal RNA", at positions 524 to 776 of the family's 1533-position model. The record is from RNAcentral.